RNAcentral lists this ribosomal RNA (700 nucleotides) under uncultured Actinomycetes bacterium. RNAcentral describes it as "bacterial SSU rRNA". It matches the Rfam family "Bacterial small subunit ribosomal RNA", at positions 76 to 790 of the family's 1533-position model. Lineage: Bacteria; Bacillati; Actinomycetota; Actinomycetes. The record is from RNAcentral.
GAGCUUGCUCCGGUGGAUUAGUGGCGAACGGGUGAGUAACACGUGAGCAAUCUGCCCUUGACUCUGGGAUAACUGCGGGAAACUGUAGCUAAUACCGGAUACGACACCUUGGGGCAUCCCAGGGUGUGGAAAGAAUUUCGGUCAAGGAUGAGCUCGCGGCCUAUCAGCUAGUUGGUGAGGUAAUGGCUCACCAAGGCGACGACGGGUAGCCGGCCUGAGAGGGUGACCGGCCACACUGGAACUGAGACACGGUCCAGACUCCUACGGGAGGCAGCAGUGGGGAAUAUUGCACAAUGGACGAAAGUCUGAUGCAGCAACGCCGCGUGAGGGAUGAAGGCCUUCGGGUUGUAAACCUCUUUUAGCAGGGAAGAAGCGAAAGUGACGGUACCUGCAGAAAAAGCACCGGCUAACUACGUGCCAGCAGCCGCGGUAAUACGUAGGGUGCAAGCGUUGUCCGGAAUUAUUGGGCGUAAAGAGCUCGUAGGCGGUUUGUCGCGUCUGCUGUGAAAAUCCAAGGCUCAACCUUGGACCUGCAGUGGGUACGGGCAAGCUAGAGUGCGGUAGGGGAGAUGGGAAUUCCUGGUGUAGCGGUGGAAUGCGCAGAUAUCAGGAGGAACACCAAUGGCGAAGGCACAUCUCUGGGCCGUAACUGACGCUGAGGAGCGAAAGCGUGGGGAGCGAACAGGAUUAGAUACCCUGG